GGCUCGUUAGCUCAACUGAAUAGAGCAUCUGACUACGGAUCAGAAGGUUAUAGGUUUGAAUCCUAUACGAGUCACAA
This 77-nucleotide transfer RNA is filed under the name Parabacteroides sp. An277. Its description in RNAcentral is "tRNA-Arg". It matches the Rfam family "tRNA". From Rfam's summary of the family: Transfer RNA (tRNA) molecules are approximately 80 nucleotides in length. Their secondary structure includes four short double-helical elements and three loops (D, anti-codon, and T loops). Lineage: Bacteria; Pseudomonadati; Bacteroidota; Bacteroidia; Bacteroidales; Tannerellaceae. The record is from RNAcentral.